UGGCGGCGUGCCUAACACAUGCAAGUCGAACGAGAAAGUGGAGCAAUCCAUGAGUAAAGUGGCGACCGGGUGAGUAACACGUGACUAACCUACCUCCGAGUGGGGAAUAACUCCGGGAAACCGGGGCUAAUACCGCAUAACAUCGCAAGAUCAAAGCAGCAAUGCGCUUGGAGAGGGGGUCGCGGCUGAUUAGCUAGUUGGCGGGGUAACGGCCCACCAAGGCGAAGAUCGGUAUCCGGCCUGAGAGGGCGCACGGACACACUGGAACUGAAACACGGUCCAGACUCCUACGGGAGGCAGCAGUGGGGAAUUUUGCGCAAUGGGGGAAACCCUGACGCAGCAACGCCGCGUGGAGGAUGAAGCCCUUUGGGGCGUAAACUCCUUUCGACCAAGACGAUAAUGACGGUACUGGUGGAAGAAGCACCGGCUAACUCUGUGCCAGCAGCCGCGGUAAUACAGAGGGUGCAAGCGUUGUUCGGAAUUAUUGGGCGUAAAGGGCGCGUANGCGGUGCCACAAGUCACCUGUGAAACCUCCGGGCUUAACUCGGAGCCUGCAGGCGAAACUGUGGUGCUG
This 574-nucleotide ribosomal RNA is filed under the name uncultured bacterium. RNAcentral's name for it is "bacterial SSU rRNA". It matches the Rfam family "Bacterial small subunit ribosomal RNA", at positions 37 to 643 of the family's 1533-position model. The record is from RNAcentral.